UACGUAGGGUGCGAGCGUUGUCCGGAAUUAUUGGGCGUAAAGAGCUCGUAGGCGGUGUGUCACGUCGUUCGUGAAAACCUGCAGCUUAACUGUGGGCGUGCGGGCGAUACGGGCAGACUGGAGUACUGCAGGGGAGACUGGAAUUCCUGGUGUAGCGGUGGAAUGCGCAGAUAUCAGGAGGAACACCGGUGGCGAAGGCGGGUCUCUGGGCAGUAACUGACGCUGAGGAGCGAAAGCGUGGGGAGCGAACAGG
Molecule: ribosomal RNA, 253 nt
Filed under: uncultured bacterium
Lineage: Bacteria
Description: partial 16S ribosomal RNA
Rfam family: Bacterial small subunit ribosomal RNA
Source: RNAcentral